RNAcentral lists this ribosomal RNA (423 nucleotides) under uncultured bacterium. RNAcentral describes it as "bacterial SSU rRNA". It matches the Rfam family "Bacterial small subunit ribosomal RNA", at positions 358 to 773 of the family's 1533-position model. The record is from RNAcentral.
AGAAUCAUUCACAAUGGGGGAAACCCUGAUGGUGCAACGCCGCGUGGAGGAUGACGGCCUUCGGGUUGUAAACUCCUGUCAUCUGGGAGUAAGCCUUGUGCGCUAAUACCGUGCAAGGUUGAUAGUACCAGAAGAGGAAGGGCCGUCUAACUUCGUGCCAGCAGCCGCGGUAAUACGAAGGUCCCAAGCGUUGUUCGGAAUCACUGGGCGUAAAGCGUGCGUAGGCGGAGCGGCAAGUCAGAUGUGAAAUCUUCGGGCUCAACCCGGAAACUGCAUCCGAUACUGCCGUGCUGGAGUAAUGGAGGGGUAGCUGGAAUUCUCGGUGUAGCAGUGAAAUGCGUAGAUAUCGAGAGGAACACUCGUGGCGAAGGCGAGCUACUGGACAUUUACUGACGCUGAGGCACGAAGGCCAGGGUAGCGAAA